CUUAGCGGCGGACGGGUGAGUAACGCGUGGGCAACCUACCUCAGACUGGGGGAUAACACAGGGAAACUUGUGCUAAUACCGCAUAAAGUAAUUAGUCGGCAUCGACUGAUUACCAAAGGAGAAAUCCGGUUUGAGAUGGGCCCGCGUCCGAUUAGCUAGUUGGUGGGGUAAAGGCCUACCAAGGCGACGAUCGGUAGCCGAACUGAGAGGUUGAUCGGCCACAUUGGGACUGAGACACGGCCCAGACUCC
Molecule: ribosomal RNA, 250 nt
Filed under: uncultured bacterium
Lineage: Bacteria
Description: partial 16S ribosomal RNA
Rfam family: Bacterial small subunit ribosomal RNA
Source: RNAcentral